AUUGAACGCUGGCGGCAGGCCUAACACAUGCAAGUCGGACGGUAGCACAGAGAGCUUGCUCUCGGGUGACGAGUGGCGGACGGGUGAGUAAUGUCUGGGGAUCUGCCCGAUAGAGGGGGAUAACCACUGGAAACGGUGGCUAAUACCGCAUAACGUCGCAAGACCAAAGAGGGGGACCUUCGGGCCUCUCACUAUCGGAUGAACCCAGAUGGGAUUAGCUAGUAGGCGGGGUAAUGGCCCACCUAGGCGACGAUCCCUAGCUGGUCUGAGAGGAUGACCAGCCACACUGGAACUGAGACACGGUCCAGACUCCUACGGGAGGCAGCAGUGGGGAAUAUUGCACAAUGGGCGCAAGCCUGAUGCAGCCAUGCCGCGUGUAUGAAGAAGGCCUUCGGGUUGUAAAGUACUUUCAGCGGGGAGGAAGGCGAUGUGGUUAAUAACCGCGUCGAUUGACGUUACCCGCAGAAGAAGCACCGGCUAACUCCGUGCCAGCCGCCGCAGUAA
Molecule: ribosomal RNA, 504 nt
Filed under: uncultured bacterium
Lineage: Bacteria
Description: partial 16S ribosomal RNA
Rfam family: Bacterial small subunit ribosomal RNA
Source: RNAcentral